This 233-nucleotide unclassified non-coding RNA is filed under the name Funneliformis mosseae. Its description in RNAcentral is "partial contains 5.8S ribosomal RNA and internal transcribed spacer 2". The stretch from base 1 to 71 matches the Rfam family "5.8S ribosomal RNA", at positions 84 to 154 of the family's 154-position model. Lineage: Eukaryota; Fungi; Glomeromycota; Glomeromycetes; Glomerales; Glomeraceae. The record is from RNAcentral.
GUGAAUCAUCAAAUCUUUGAACGCAAAUUGCACUCCCUGGUAUUCCGGGGAGUAUGCCUGUUUGAGGGUCGUUAGAAGCAAAAUCGAAGCAUCGUUCUUUUUUUUGAGGGUGAUCGCGUCGGAAUUGUGCCGCCUUUCAAAUGUUAAUUCAUGUAAAAGUGGCUUAUAAUUCAUCUAUCCGGUACGAUUAAAGCGUAUUUUAGAUCAAUUUUGUUCCAGAACGUGCGAUGACG